RNAcentral lists this ribosomal RNA (406 nucleotides) under uncultured bacterium. RNAcentral's name for it is "partial 16S ribosomal RNA". It matches the Rfam family "Bacterial small subunit ribosomal RNA", at positions 30 to 526 of the family's 1533-position model. The record is from RNAcentral.
AUUGAACGCUGGCGGCAGGCCUAACACAUGCAAGUCGAGCGAGUGGCGGACGGGUGAGUAAUGUCUGGGAAACUGCCCGAUGGAGGGGGAUAACUACUGGAAACGGUAGCUAAUACCGCAUACCAUCGGAUGUGCCCAGAUGGGAUUAGAUAGUUGGUGGGGUAAAGGCUGACCAAGGCGACGAUCCGUCACUGGUCUGAGAGGAUGAUCAGCCAAACGGGAACUGAGACACGGUCCAGACUCCUACGGGAGGCAGCAGUGGGGAAUAUUGCACAAUGGGCGAAAGCCUGAUGCAGCCAUGCCGCGUGUGUGAAGAAGGCCUUCGGAUUGUAAAGCACUUUAAGUUGGGAGGCGUUACCAACAGAAUAAGCACCGGCUAACUUCGUGCCAGCAGCCGCGGUAAUAC